Molecule: long non-coding RNA, 1054 nt
Organism: Calidris pugnax (ruff)
Lineage: Eukaryota; Metazoa; Chordata; Aves; Charadriiformes; Scolopacidae
Exons: 2
Source: RefSeq, a predicted model, not a curated record
CAAUCAAGCGAGCCAUCGUGAUUAGUGACUGUGCUAAUCAGCAUCACCCACAGAUCGUGGCUUUUCCCAGAAAAAAUGCCCUUCCUGAGGCUGGGAAACUGAAAUUUUUCUUGCGGUCUGUUGACAAGACAGGAUCCCGUCUCGCCUUGCGGAAUUUUUGCUAGACAGCUAACUCUGUCCCGGGGGGGUCAAGAGAAACCUGUCGCUGCCUGCUGUGUCCCAGACCCUGAACCACCUUGUCACCAAGCCCUGGAUGUCCCCAGACCUCCUGGAGAGCAGCUGCACUAACCUGGAGCCAGCCCCAAAAGCGGUGACAUCUCCACAGAAUCCUGGGCAUCCCGAGGAUGGAGCUGCUGGAAACCCCGGCGGAGGCGACAGGAGCAGGGAGAGGAUCCGGAAUCAAGUUGGUUCAACUCUCUGCCCAGAGAACUAUAAUAUAAUUUCUCUAUAGAUAAAAUGUAAACAUAAAAGAGCAUACAAAUUGCACUUGAUCCUCAGGAUCUGGCAUUUCUACCAAAUGAAGGUUUUUGUUCACCGUUAUCACUCUUCUGGGUGUGAAGCAGCAGGAUGGCGAGUGACCGACCGGCCACGGGCCAAACGGAAAGACAAAUUACUCCCAUUAAAAAAACUAAGUGACAUAUUGGAGAAUGAGAGUGGUGGUAGGAAAGAAAGACCUUGUUCACCCCGGAGAGCAGCAAAUGCUCAGGAGCUCUGUGCUCCAUCAGGCUCCAGCACUCCUGGAUCCAACCCCGGGGAGAAGGAAACCACCAUGACCUUACUCAGCAGAAGCUGGAUCCCAGUUCAGACUCCAGCACCCAGGGUCCUGCCACUCUGCACAGCUGGGAGAGAAGGAAGAUGCCAGGGCAGAGGCUGCCUUGGGGCCCUUUGCUCCAUCACCAUUUGGAGUCCCCUUCCCCGGGAGCAGGCUCCCAGGAGGAGCCGACUGCGAAUAUCUCCCUCAGCAUUCACUCCCUGUGUAAAUCUUUGCUAUUCGUCAUUAAUAAUUCACUUGCAAUACUUACAGAUGAUAAUAAACGGCUUACAAAACUCCGUA